This 67-nucleotide transfer RNA is filed under the name Caryopemon giganteus. RNAcentral describes it as "tRNA-Thr". The record is from RNAcentral. Lineage: Eukaryota; Metazoa; Arthropoda; Insecta; Coleoptera; Chrysomelidae.
GUUUUAAUAAUUUAAUCAAAAAUAUUGAUCUUGUAAAUCAAAUAUAAGAACCCUAUCUUUUAAAACU